GCACUUACUUCAGUAGCACAUAGACUAAAAUUGAAAUGAUAUGGAAAUUGGCAUUGCCCCUGUGCCAAGAUGACACAAAUUCGUGAAGCCUUUCAUAUUUUU
This is a small nuclear RNA of Cebus imitator (Panamanian white-faced capuchin), 102 nucleotides long. Lineage: Eukaryota; Metazoa; Chordata; Mammalia; Primates; Cebidae. The record is from Ensembl.